GUAUUGGCCUACCGUGGCAAUGACGGAUAACGGGGAAUUAGGGUUCGAUUCCGGAGAGGGAGCCUGAGAAACGGCUACCACAUCUAAGGAAGGCAGCAGGCGCGCAAAUUACCCAAUCCUAAUACAGGGAGGUAGUGACAAGAAAUAACAAUACAGGACUUUUUGGUUUUGUAAUUGGAAUGAGUUAAGUAUAAACCCCUUUACAAGUAUCAAUUGGAGGGCAAGUCUGGUGCCAGCAGCCGCGGUAAUUCCAGCUCCAAUAGCGUAUAUUAAAGUUGUUGCAGUUAAAAAGCUCGUAGUUGGAUUUCUGUUAAUAAUUUAUAUAAAAUAUUUUGAUGAAUAUUUAUAUAAUAUUAACAUAAUUCAUAUUACUAUAUAUUUUAGUAUAUGAAAUUUUACUUUGAGAAAAUUAGAGUGCUUAAAGCAGGCAUAUGCCUUGAAUACUCCAGCAUGGAAUAAUAUUAAAGAUUUUUAUCUUUCUUAUUGGUUCUAAGAUAAGAAUAAUGAUUAAUAGGGACAGUUGGGGGCAUUUGUAUUUAA
RNAcentral lists this ribosomal RNA (540 nucleotides) under Cryptosporidium sp. GC-2015. RNAcentral's name for it is "SSU rRNA". It matches the Rfam family "Eukaryotic small subunit ribosomal RNA", at positions 333 to 901 of the family's 1831-position model. Lineage: Eukaryota; Apicomplexa; Conoidasida; Eucoccidiorida; Cryptosporidiidae. The record is from RNAcentral.